Molecule: ribosomal RNA, 494 nt
Filed under: uncultured bacterium
Lineage: Bacteria
Description: partial 16S ribosomal RNA
Rfam family: Bacterial small subunit ribosomal RNA
Source: RNAcentral
GACGAACGCUGGCGGCGUGCUUAACACAUGCCAGUCGAACGGUGAAGCGCCUUCCUUUUUGGUGGGUGUGGAUGAGUGGCGAACGGGUGAGUAACACGUGAGUAACCUGCCCCCUUCUUCUGGAUAACCGCAUGAAAGUGUGGCUAAUACGGGAUAUUCUGGGUCUGUCGCAUGAUGGGUCUGGGAAAGAUAUUGUUUCGGUGGGGGAUGGGCUCGCGGCCUAUCAGCUUGUUGGUGGGGUGAUGGCCUACCAAGGCGGUGACGGGUAGCCGGCCUGAGAGGGUGGACGGUCACACUGGGACUGAGACACGGCCCAGACUCCUACGGGAGGCAGCAGUGGGGAAUAUUGCACAAUGGGCGCAAGCCUGAUGCAGCGACGCCGCGUGAGGGAUGGAGGCCUUCGGGUUGUGAACCUCUUUCGCCAGUGAAGCAGGCCUGCCUCGUUUGUGGGUGGGUUGACAGUAGCUUGAUAAGAAGCGCCGGCUAACUACGUG